Non-coding RNA from Caldicellulosiruptor saccharolyticus DSM 8903, 73 nucleotides. The record is from Rfam. Lineage: Bacteria; Bacillati; Bacillota; Caldicellulosiruptorales; Caldicellulosiruptoraceae.
GGGCCUUUAGCUCAGCUGGUAGAGCGGCCGGCUCAUAACCGGUUGGUCUGGGGUUCGAAUCCCUAAGGGCCCA